Molecule: small nucleolar RNA, 77 nt
Organism: Dendronephthya gigantea
Lineage: Eukaryota; Metazoa; Cnidaria; Anthozoa; Malacalcyonacea; Nephtheidae
Source: RefSeq, a predicted model, not a curated record
CUGCAGUGAUGAAUGUUUUGAUCAAGUCUAAAUCAUCGAUAUGUUGAUUCAAACCGAGCUUUUUAAAACUGAGCAGC